Rana temporaria (common frog) is the source of this 837-nucleotide long non-coding RNA. RefSeq lists it as uncharacterized. The transcript has 4 exons. The record is from RefSeq and is a predicted model, not a curated record. Lineage: Eukaryota; Metazoa; Chordata; Amphibia; Anura; Ranidae.
CCAUCAAGGCUGAAGUAUGGCAACACUGUGCUGUUUGAGAGUAAACGGAGAGCUGGUGAGAUGACCAUCAAGGCUGAAGUAUGGCAACACUGUGCUGUUUGAGAGUAAACGGAGAGCUGGUGAGAUGACCAUCAAGGCUGAAGUAUGGCAACACUGUGCUGUUUGAGAGUAAACGGAGAGCUGGUGAGAUGACCAUCAAGGCUGAAGUAUGGCAACACUGUGCUGUUUGAGAGUAAACGGAGAGGUAUGUAUCAAAUUCAGUCUAUAAAUGCUGUAAUCUGUGGGACAUUUUAAGUGAAACUUUUUUGUGUAUCAAGCUUUUAAGCGGAGGUCCACCCAAAAAUGGAACUUCUGCUUUAAGUGACUGUGAGCCCCUUGACAUGCCACAUUUGGAAAAUGGGAAACUAUCAACAGGGGCCCGGAAGUGAUGUCUCAUGUCAUUUCUGGGUCAUCAGCAGGGAGGAGGGGGAGAGCAGAUGUGCACCUAUGCCAGUCUCAAGCCUGCAGAUCAGCAAGCCGAGCCCGGGAUACUUGGGGUAGGUGUACGGGGUGUGAAGCAUUUCGUGGCAGCUCCAACAGUGUGUGGGGGUGUGUUUUGUUGGCCUUGGCGUCCUGACGCCUGGGGUUUGUCGAGCCCUUAAACAUGAGGAAAGUACAGAGGCCGCCAUUGCUGAAGCCUGAUUUUGAGAAGGUUUGUUCUGGCUAUCUGGUGCUUUGGCCUCAACACUUUGUUUGAAUUUUAUAUUUCUCAGGUCAGACACUCAAUCACAGAAUGCUUGUUUUCAGACUCAUUUUUUAAAGCCAAAUUCUCCAGGCAACAAGUCCAUUAGUUUCUUU